GGUCAAGUUACAAAGGGUUUACGACGGCUGACUUGGCAGACUCAGGCGAUGAAGGACGCGAUAAGCUGCGAUAAGCUUCGGGGAGCUGCAAUGAAGCUUUGAUCCGGAGAUUUCCGAAUGGGGCAACCCAACUGGACUAACCUCCAGUUAUCUUACUCUGAAUACAUAGGAGAUAGAUGCUAACGCGGCGAAUUGAAACAUCUUAGUAGCCGCAGGAAAAGAAAACAAAUGUGAUUCCCUAAGUAGCGGCGAGCGAAACGGGAAGAGGCUAAACUCUAGUGCUUGCACUAGAGGGUUGCGGGACCUCAAUGUAGGAUUGUAAGAGAAUAGCAAAAGCGUCUGGAAAGGCGCACCAUAGCAGGUGAAAGUCCUUUUUGCGAAAUUCUUGAGCACCUUAGAGGUAUCCCAAGUAAUGCGGGGCACGAGAAAUCCCGUAUGAAUCUGUGCCGACCAUGGCAUAAGCCUAAAUACUCGAGUCUGACCGAAAGCGUACAAGUACCGUGAGGGAAAGUUGAAAAGAACCCCGGGAGGGGAGUGAAAUAGAACCUAAAAUCGUAAACUUACAAAGCGGUCAAAGGCCUAUGCAUAUCGCAAGAUAUGAAUGGCUGAUGGCGUACCUUUUGCAUAAUGGACCAACUAGUUGCUAGGCGUUGCAAGCUUAAGUCCUUUUAGGACGGAGGCGUAGGGAAACCGAGUGUGAAUAGCGCGAAUCAGUAACGUUUAGCAGACGCGAAACCACGUGAUCUAUCCAUGGGCAGAAUGAAGCUCUAAGAAAUUAGAGUGGAGGUUCGAACACACGUUAGUUGAAAAUAACGGUGAUGACCUGUGGAUCGGAGUGAAAGGCUAAUCAAACGUGGAAAUAGCUCGUUCUCCCCGAAAUAGUUCUAGGACUAGCCUCGAUUAAAAUCAAAUUCAGGGGUAGAGUUACUGAAUAGGAUAGGGGGUUUACCAACCUACCAAACCUAACCAAACUCCGAAUACUGAAUUUGUUACAUCGGGAGUAAGACAGCGAGGGCUAAGCUCCGUUGUCUAAAGGGAAACAGCCCAGACCAUCUGUUAAGGUCCCUAAUACAUGCUAAGUGGUAAAGGAAGUGAGAUCACAUUAACAGCCAGGAUGUUGGCUUAGAGGCAGCCAUCAUUUAAAGAGUGCGUAAUAGCUCACUGGUCGAGUGGUCUUGCGCCGAAAAUGAUCGGGGCUCAAGCAUGUAACCGAAGCAGUGGAUUCCGCCGCAAGGCGAGAGUGGUAGGGGAGCGUAGUGUCAUGCGUUGAAGGCGUACCGUAAGGAGCGCUGGAGUAGACACUAGUGAUACUGUUGGUAUAAGUAGCGAAAACUACAGCGAGAAACUGUAGCACCGAAAAUCCAAGGUUUCCUGGGGAAGGUUAAUCCUCCCAGGGUUAGUCGAUCCUAAGGCGAGGCUGAAAAGCGUAGUCGAUGGACAUCCGGUUAAUAUUCCGGAACUGGCUAUGAACGUUAUUAACUUAAUGUGACGCGGAAGGUUAACUGAUCGGACUGUUGGAAUAGUCCGUCCAAACCCGUAGCCGUACAGCAAUGUACGGGGAGAGGUGAUGGGGAGCUGCGAUUAUAUCAAAGCGAAGUUAGUGAUACCAGGCUGCCGAGAAAAACCAUUAAGUGAGUAUCAUGGUCAAUCGUACCGUAAUCCGACACAGGUAGAUAACCAGAAUAUGGUAAGGUGCUCGAGAUAUCCGUCCCUAAGGAACUAGGCAAAGUGGCUCCGUAACUUCGGAAGAAGGAGUGCCGGAUUGGUCAGGCCCCUCGCGGGCGCAGCCAUGAAGGUCACAGUAAAGAGGCUUGGGUGACUGUUUAGUAAAAACACAUCACUGUGCAAAGUCGCAAGACGACGUAUACGGUGUGACACCUGCCCGGUGCUGGAAGGUUAAGGGAAAAGGUUAGCCGCAAGGCGAAGCUUUGAACCGAAGCCCCAGUAAACGGCGGCCGUAACUAUAACGGUCCUAAGGUAGCGAAAUUCCUUGUGGGGUAAGUUCCCACGCGCACGAAUGGUGUAACAACUUGAGCGCUGUCUCGGGGACGGCCUCGGCGAAUUUGUAGUGGCGGUGAAGAUGCUGCCUACCCGCACUUGGACGAAAAGACCCCGGAACCUUUACUGUAGUCUGAUAUUUGACUUGAGUUUUGUUUGUGUAGGAUAGGUGGGAGGCUUUGAAGUUCCGACGCUAGUCGGGAUGGAGCCAUUGGUGAAAUACCACCCUAACCGAAUUUAGGUUAUAAUUAUGAACUGUGAAUCCAGUCAUAAGACAGUGUCAGAUGGGCAGUUUGUUUGGGGCGAAUCCCGUCUAAAAUGUAACGACGGGGUCCUAAGGUCACCUCAAUCCGGUCGGCAAUCGGAUGUGGAAUGCAUAGGUAUAAGGUGGCUUAACUGUGACAUCGACAGAUGGAACAGAUACGAAAGUAGGGCUAAGUGAUCCGGUGGUAGAUUAUGGGAUUGCCAUCGCUCAACGGAUAAUAGGUACUCUGGGGAUAACAGGCUGAUCGCGCUCGAGAGUUCAUAUCGACAGCGCGGAUUGGCACCUCGAUGUCGGCUCGUCGUAUCCUGGGGCUGUACAAGGUCCCAAGGGUCCGGCUGUUCGCCGGUUAAAACGGCACGUGAGCUGGGUUUAGAACGUCGUGAGACAGUUCGGUCUCUAUCCAGUGUGGGCGCACGAUGAUUGAAGUGGAGAUCUCCUUAGUACGAGAGGACCGGGAGAUACGAACCUCUAGUGUUCCGGUUGUCCCGCCAGGGGCAAUGGCCGGGUAGCUAUGUUCGGAAGGGAUAAGUGCUGAAUGCAUAUAAGUACGAAGCCUCCCACAAGAUUAUUCAUCGAUUUCUGUCUUCGGACAGGAUAAAGACACCAUGUAGACUACGUGGUUGAUAGGCAGGGUGUGUAAGACCUGAAAGGGUUUCAGCUAACCUGUACUAAUUAGUCGAACACUUGACCUU
Molecule: ribosomal RNA, 2955 nt
Filed under: Candidatus Omnitrophota bacterium
Lineage: Bacteria; Pseudomonadati; Candidatus Omnitrophota
Description: Candidatus Omnitrophica bacterium (sediment metagenome) 23S ribosomal RNA
Rfam family: Bacterial large subunit ribosomal RNA
Source: RNAcentral